AAACCUUGUAUUUGCGGAUACUUGCGCAGGAGUUCCUUGAACCUUUCCCAUGUCUCAAAUAGAGACUCCAAUUCCAACUGCAUAAAGGAUGAGAUCUCAUUCCUAAGCUU
Small nucleolar RNA from Dioscorea cayenensis subsp. rotundata (Guinea yam), 110 nucleotides. The record is from RefSeq and is a predicted model, not a curated record. Lineage: Eukaryota; Viridiplantae; Streptophyta; Magnoliopsida; Dioscoreales; Dioscoreaceae.